Molecule: long non-coding RNA, 726 nt
Organism: Morus notabilis
Lineage: Eukaryota; Viridiplantae; Streptophyta; Magnoliopsida; Rosales; Moraceae
Exons: 3
Source: RefSeq, a predicted model, not a curated record
UCGUUUCUAGAAAGAGAAAGCUCAAUAAACCUAAACCACUCAAACCACCUCCAAAUUCAAAGUUUUGUCUUUUAUCAAAAUAUCUUCCUCACUCCAUUGUUUGAUCAUGCACGAACGUUUUCAAGUGUUCAAAGAGGAUUAUAGAGUCCAAAAUUUAUGCUAAAGUGGCUGCCAUUUUAAAAUCCGAGAGUUGUUACAUACUGUUGCAAGUUGUGGUUGUGUUUUGAAUCUUAUUUUAAUCAAAUCCUUCAAGCUAAGAACGAGUUUUCAUCAUCAAUGGAGCCUAAAACAGCUUUUUCUUUAAGGACUUUUUUCUUCAAGAGAUUGAUGAUUGUCAUAACUACCCCACAAUUUGGGGGCCCAACAUCCUCGUUAGCCAUACAUUUAACUUGGUGUAGGCUCUGAUACCAUUCUAUAAAUGGCCCACAUCUUCGGAACUACUUCAUGAGCCUUCUUCUAGCACCGCUCCAACCGUUCUUCACACAUUUCCGGUAUAGAUAUGUGUAUACACAUAAUAUAAAGAAUUCUUUUUACUAGCAAAAAAACAGGCUGUAAUUCUUUUGUUUACAAGGCAAAUGAGCCUAGCCAACCAAGUAACAUUUCUAAUCCAGAAUUGUUUUAUUUAGUCAAAUAAUGAAUUGCUCAGAAGAUUCAAACUUUCCACGCCCAACAACAAAAUACGAUAAGCGAGACGAUGAAUUAAUAGAUACAAUUAUUGUGUGUUUG